RNAcentral lists this ribosomal RNA (465 nucleotides) under uncultured bacterium. RNAcentral's name for it is "partial 16S ribosomal RNA". It matches the Rfam family "Bacterial small subunit ribosomal RNA", at positions 28 to 507 of the family's 1533-position model. The record is from RNAcentral.
GACGAACGCUGGCGGCGUGCUUAACACAUGCAAGUCGAACGGAAAGGCCCUGCUUGCAGGGUACGCGAGUGGCGAACGGGGGAGUAACACGUGGGUGAUCUGCCCUGCACUUCGGGAUAAGCCUGGGAAACUGGGGCUAAUACAGGAGAGGAGAGAUCCUGAGUGUGAUGGUGGGAAAGUAUUUUCGGUGUAGGAUGAGCUCGCGGCCUAUCAGCUUGUUGGUGGGGUAAUGGCCUACCAAGGCGGCGACGGGUAGGCGGCCUGCGGGGGUGGACGGCCACAUUGGGACUGAGAUUCGGCCCAGGCUCCUACGGGAGGCAGCAGUGGGGAAUAUUGCACAAUGGGCGCGAGCCUGAUGCAGCGACGCCGCGUGGGGGAUGACGGCCUUCGGGUUGUAAACUCCUUUCGCUAGGGACGAAGCUUUUUGUGACGGUACCUAGAGAAGAAGCACCGGCUAACUACGUG